GACGGAUAGUAUGCGGAUCGGAUUCAUUCAGCCAGUUGGCGUCAAUAUCACAUUGAGAUUUCAUGUGAAUUUGUGAUGGAGUUCGACUCCUCGUGUCUGGACCUGUGUGCAUUUCUUGAAGGGUGAAGUUGUGACAGGACACAACAGCCAGUUCAGACAUGCAGCUGAUUGACAGAUGAGUCCUCCAAUCACAGAGAGAGAGAGAGAGAGAGUGAGAGUGAGAGUGAGAGUGAAGUGUGUUUGUUUUGUGUGCUUGGAAGUUUAAACAGCGUGUAGACGGACAACAAGUAAGUGCUUUCAAAACUCAUUUAAAAUCAUGUUUAAUAGAUAGAUAGAUAGAUAGAUAGAUAGAUAGAUAGAUAGAUAGAUAGAUAGAUAGAUAGAUAGAUAGAUAGAUAGAUAGAUAGAUAGAUAGAUAACCAAAAUCAAAAUUCUUUACCCUCAUGUGUGUGUUAAUCUGUAUGUGAGUGUUUCUGCAGUGAAACACAAAAGAUAUAUUGAGAAAUGGCUCAGUGGUUUUGGUAAAUCAGUGAGGUUCAGUGUUGUUUGAUUACCAACAUUCUUCAAAAUAUCUAAUUUUGUGUUCUGCAGACGAAAGUCAAACGUACAUAAAUUAUGACAAAUUUCAUUUUUGGGUCGUAAAGAGCAGAUUUACACACCAGACUGUUUUAUAACCUGUAAUGAUAUGUUUCAUGAUGUCCUGAAAGGAUUCACACAUCUUCUGAUUCUCUUCUGUCAGGAUGGGGUCCGGUGAUGGUGUUCGUGUCCCGGUAGCGCUGCUUUCUGUCGGGUUCUUGUGCGUCCUCGGCGUGUCGUGGUUCUGGAGUUUUUUGGCUCUUCUCGGGCUGUAUUUGUUCUCUGGAGGAUGGAGGUUUCUGUAUAUAGCUGCAUGUACCUUCAAGAGAGAUCUGUUCGGUCUGUACGUGCUGCUGCGCAUGAAAUCCUCCUUGAGCCGCCAUCAGCGUGCCCGCAGCACCAUCACAUCUAUAUUCGCCCAGCGGGUGGCGCUCCACCCGGACAAGCCGGCUCUGGUGGAGGAUUCCACGGGUGAGGUGUGGAGCUUCUCGGAGCUGGACCGGCGGUCUAACGCUGUGGCCCGGUGGGCUCUGGCGCAGGGCUGGGCCUCGGGCGAUGUGGUGGCCGUCUUCAUGGAGAGUCGACCGUUCGUGGUGGCCCUGUGGCUCGGACUGGCCAAAGUGGGCGCGGAGGCGGCGUUCAUUAAUUUCAACCUGCGACGUGAUACGCUGAUGCACUGUGUGGGCGUGUCGGGAGCCAAGGGGAUGGUGUUUGGGGCGGAGCUUGUGGAUGCUGUGACGGAGGUGAGGGACUCUCUGAGCGGUCUCUCUCUCUUCUGUUCUGGGACAGCUCCAGCCGGGACAUUAAAGUCUCUCUCUGCUCAAAGUCUGGACGCCCUGCUCGCCGAAUGUCCUGACGGUCCCCCCGCUGUCACACACAACAAGAGCUUCAACGAUAGGUUGUUUUAUAUCUACACCUCUGGAACGACAGGUUUACCUAAAGCUGCCAUAGUGGUUCACAGCAGGUACUACCGCAUUGUUAUGUUUGCGUAUUAUUCGUUUGGACUGCGGCCUGAUGAUGUGCUGUACUGCUGUUUACCGCUCUAUCACUCCGCAGGUAACAUCUUGGGGGUGGGUCAGUGUCUGUUGUUCGGUGUGACGGUGGUGGUCCGCAGGAAGUUUUCUGCCAGCCGUUUCUGGGACGACUGCGUUAGAUACAACUGCACGGUGAUUCAGUACAUCGGUGAAAUCUGUCGAUAUCUUUUAUCUCAGCCGGUUCGUCCAUCCGAGUCCUGUCACCAGGUGCGUGUUGCCAUGGGCAACGGUCUGCGGCUCAAUGUUUGGGAAGCGUUCACAAAACGUUUCAACAUCAAACGCAUCGGGGAGUUUUACGGAGCCACGGAGUGCAACUGCGGCCUCGCCAACCUCGACAACAAGGUGGGGGCGUGUGGCUUCAACAGUGUCAUUCUGCCCAACGUUUAUCCCAUCAGACUGCUGAGAGUCAAUGAAGACAACAUGGAGUUAAUCAGAGACGAACACGGACUCUGUGUUCCAUGCAAACCUGGUGACCCGGGGAUUAUCGUUGGCAGAAUCAAUCCUGACGAUCCGUUACGGCGUUUCGACGGUUACGCUAACCAAGAGGCCACCAAUAAAAAGAUCACACACGAUGUGUUCAGUGAAGGCGACUCUGCUUACGUGUCAGGUGAUCUGAUGGUGAUGGAUGAGUUCGGUUACGUGUAUUUCCGCGACCGGAGCGGAGACACGUUCCGCUGGCGGGGGGAGAACGUCUCGACCACAGAGGUGGAGGGAGUUCUCAGUUCUCUGUUGAAUCAGACGGAUGUGGCCGUGUAUGGAGUCUCUGUACCCGGUGUUUGUGUGUGUUUGUUGAUCAGGUGUGGAGGGGAGGGCCGGUAUGGCUGCUAUAGCUCACACCACGGAUGAUUUCCACUGUCAGAGGUUUGUUGGAGAUGUGCAGAAGAGACUUCCUUCUUACGCCCGACCCGUCUUCAUACGGCUCUCACCUGAGGUGGACAAAACAGGCACCUUUAAAAUCCAAAAGACUCGCUUAAAGAGGGAAGGAUUCGACCCAAGGCAAACAAGCGACCGGAUCUUGUUUCUGAACAGUCGCGAGGGGUGUUACGAGGCUCUCA
This is an RNA transcript of Triplophysa rosa, 2665 nucleotides long. It is a transcript of the gene named solute carrier family 27 member 1b, with no coding region annotated. Lineage: Eukaryota; Metazoa; Chordata; Actinopteri; Cypriniformes; Nemacheilidae. The record is from RefSeq and is a predicted model, not a curated record. The transcript is spliced from 13 exons.